This 116-nucleotide ribosomal RNA is filed under the name Enterobacter cloacae. Lineage: Bacteria; Pseudomonadati; Pseudomonadota; Gammaproteobacteria; Enterobacterales; Enterobacteriaceae. The record is from RNAcentral.
CCUGGCGGCGUUAGCGCGGUGGUCCCACCUGACCCCAUGCCGAACUCAGAAGUGAAACGCCGUAGCGCCGAUGGUAGUGUGGGGUCUCCCCAUGUGAGAGUAGGGAACUGCCAGGC